RNAcentral lists this ribosomal RNA (279 nucleotides) under uncultured bacterium. Its description in RNAcentral is "partial 16S ribosomal RNA". It matches the Rfam family "Bacterial small subunit ribosomal RNA", at positions 523 to 796 of the family's 1533-position model. The record is from RNAcentral.
AUACGUAGGUGGCAAGCGUUGUCCGGAUUUAUUGGGCGUAAAGCGCGCGCAGGUGGUUUCUUAAGUCUGAUGUGAAAGCCCACGGCUCAACCGUGGAGGGUCAUUUGGAAACUUGGGAGACUUGAGUGCAGAAGAGGAUAGUGGAAUUCCAAGUGUAGCGGUGAAAUGCGUAGAGAUUUGGAGGAACACCAGUAGGCGAAGGCGACUGUCUGGUCUGUAACUGACACUGAGGCGCCGAAAAGCGUGGGGAGCAAACAGGAUUAGAUACCCCCGUAGUCC